GAAAAAUGUUUCUCAUAUCCUUCAGGUCACCUGAGUAGAAACCUAUAUAAAAAGGGUGAGUGUGAAGAGUUAAGAGGAAAACCUUUAGCAAACUGAGGUUGUUUCUACUUGCUAAAAGGGUCUCUCAUUUCUAUUCAUGAAUGGCCUUUCUACGCUUUCUCCUGAGCCACAGAAGAGGACAUUUCAGCACAAUCUAAGGUAGACUGAAACAAGUAAAACAUCUGGAUAAACUCCCCCAUGAACACUGAAAAAAGAAACAUGACUAAUAAGCUCUCUUCUCCACAUGCUGGAGAUUCUACUGAUGGUAACACAUUCAGAUACAAACACGUGAACCAAUAAUAACCAACCUCACUGCUAAAGCAGUCACUUGAAGCGAUAACCUCACUUCUGCUUUCCCAAAUAGGUCAUUUCAAAGCCUUAGAAACUGGCCUCAACAGUAACUGCAGGAAGCAUACUUGUCAGAUCUGAGCAAUAAAAAUACACCCUGACUGCUGAGCCUGGAGCACGGGAGAGCCUACAGCUAACCAGGGAAGACAUGCUUUAGAUAAAGUCCUUCCAACAUCUUGCAACCUGGAUAACAGCCAAGUCCUAUUCAUCCCUCUCAACCUGGCUCUUCCAUGCCCUCCUGCAAGGCCUUCCCCAGCCCUUCUCUGUGGAUGCCCCUCCUCCGUUUUGAAGCAGACUGGAUACCAGCCCCACCCCGCCGCCAUGCUUCUUUUAUCCUUGCAGAAAGCCUAUCUCCACCGGACUGUGACAACUUCAUGAGGGUGUAGAGCUCAUGCCUGUUUGAUUAGUCCCUUAACCACCACUGUUCCCAGCACCUGAGCUUCGUCCUUGGCACCUUGUGAACCUACAAUAAAUAUUUGUUAAAUGAAUGAAUAAAAGACUGAGAAGCGGGGGCA
This 902-nucleotide long non-coding RNA is filed under the name Homo sapiens (human). RNAcentral's name for it is "HSALNT0129108". The record is from RNAcentral. Lineage: Eukaryota; Metazoa; Chordata; Mammalia; Primates; Hominidae.